Molecule: ribosomal RNA, 465 nt
Filed under: uncultured bacterium
Lineage: Bacteria
Description: bacterial SSU rRNA
Rfam family: Bacterial small subunit ribosomal RNA
Source: RNAcentral
CCUACGGGUCGCAGCAGUGGGGAAUACUGCACAAUGGGCGCAAGCCUGAUGCAGCCAUGCCGCGUGUAUGAAGAAGGCCUUCGGGUUGUAAAGUACUUUCAGCGGGGAGGAAGGCGAUAAGGUUAAUAACCUUGUCGAUUGACGUUACCCGCAGAAGAAGCACCGGCUAACUCCGUGCCAGCAGCCGCGGUAACACGGAGGGUGCAAGCGUUAAUCGGAAUUACUGGGCGUAAAGCGCACGCAGGCGGUCUGUCAAGUCGGAUGUGAAAUCCCCGGGCUCAGCCUGGGAACUGCAUUCGAAACUGGCAGGCUAGAGUCUUGUAGAGGGGGGUAGAAUUCCAGGUGUAGCGGUGAAAUGCGUAGAGAUCUGGAGGAAUACCGGUGGCGAAGGCGGCCCUCUGGACAAAGACUGACGCUCAGGUGCGAAUGCGUGGGGAGCAAACAGGAUUAGAUACCCGUGUAGUC